This 2006-nucleotide ribosomal RNA is filed under the name human gut metagenome. Its description in RNAcentral is "bacterial LSU rRNA". It matches the Rfam family "Bacterial large subunit ribosomal RNA", at positions 3 to 2044 of the family's 2925-position model. The record is from RNAcentral.
UUAAGCAAAGAAGAGCGCAGGGUGGAUGCCUUGGCACUAAGAGCCGAAGAAAGACGUGAUAAGCUGCGAAAAGCUGCGGGGAGAUGCAAAUAAUCCUUGAUCCGCAGAUGUCUGAAUGGGGAAACCCGGUACGAAGAACUCGUAUCAUCCAUACGCCAAUCCAUAACGUAUGGAGGGGAACCCGGUGAACUGAAACAUCUAAGUAGCCGGAGGAAGAGAAAGAAACAUCGAUUUUGUUAGUAGCGGCGAGCGAAAGCGAAAGAGGCCAAACCGGAGUGCGUGCACUCCGGGGUUCGGACCGCAUUUAAGAUUCAGUGAUUCUAGCAGAAAGGUUUGGGAAAGCCUGCCGGAGAGGGUGAAAGCCCCGUAAGCGAAAGGAGAGCUGACUGAGCGGAAUCCAGAGUACAUCGAGACACGAGAAACCUUGAUGGAAUGAGCGGGGACCACCCCGUAAGCCUAAAUACUACUUAGUGACCGAUAGCGCAUAGUACUGUGAAGGAAAGGUGAAAAGGACCCCGGGAGGGGAGUGAAAGAGAACCUGAAACCCUGUGUUUACAAGCUGUGGAAGUUCUUUAAAUGAACAACCGCGUACUUUUUGUAGAACGGUCCGGCGAGUUGCGGAUACUGGCAAGGUUAAGCACUUAAGGUGCGGAGCCGAAGGGAUACCAAGUCUUAACAGGGCGUUAAGUCAGUAUACGCAGACCCGAAACCGGGUGAUCUAUCCAUGUCCAGGUUGAAGUUGUCGUAAAAGACAAUGGAGGACCGAAGCCACAUCCGUUGAAAAGGGUGGGCAUGAGGUGUGGAUAGGGGAGAAAUUCCAAUCGAACCCGGAGAUAGCUGGUUCUCCUCGAAAUAGCUUUAGGGCUAGCCUCGAUUUAGUCUUAUGGAGGUAGAGCACUGAAUUUCCGCGGGGGCGUCAAAGCUUACCAAAGAAUAUCAAACUCCGAAUGCCAUGUAGAUGAUGAUCGGGAGUCAGACUGCACGAGAUAAGUUGGGCAGUCAAAAGGGAAAGAGCCCAGACCACCGGCUAAGGUCCCAAAGUGCGUGUUAAGUGGAAAAGGAUGUGGGAAUUCGAAGACAACUAGGAUGUUGGCUCAGAAGCAGCCAUACAUUCAAAGAGUGCGUAACAGCUCACUAGUCGAGAGUUCCUGCGCCGAAAAUGUCCGGGGCUGAAACACGACACCGAAGCCGUGGACUCGCAAUGCGAGUGGUAGAGGAGCAUUCUUAAAACCGACGAAGCUGUACCGGAAGGAGCAGUGGAGGGAUAAGAAGAGAGAAUGCCGGAAUGAGUAGCGAGAGAAAGGUGGGAAUCCUUUCGGCCGAAUAUCUAAGGUUUCCAGAGUAAAGCUGAUCUGCUCUGGGUAAGUCGGGGCCUAAGCACAGGUCGCAAGACGUAAGCGAUGGAUAACAGGUUUAGAUUCCUGUACCACGCAUUAUCAGAACUGUAGGGACGCAUGUGGAAAGCACGGGCCGGGAAUGGAAAGACCGGUACAAGCGAGGUAGGUGUACAACAGGCAAAUCCGUUGUAUAAUCCGAAGACGUGAUGUGGAGCGAAAUAAAGUAGUGAAGCGUGUGAGCCAUGUGCCGAGAAAAGCUGCUAUUGUGUAAUGCGUGCCCGUACCGUAAACCGACACAGGUGGAUGAGGAGAGAAUCCUAAGGCCGGCGGAAGAAGCAUUGUUAAGGAAUUCGGCAAAAUGACCCCGUAACUUCGGGAGAAGGGGUGCCUGCGAGAGCAGGCCGCAGAGAAUAGGCUCAAGCAACUGUUUAGCAAAAACACAGGUCUAUGCGAAACCGAAAGGUGAGGUAUAUGGGCUGACGCCUGCCCGGUGCUGGAAGGUUAAGGGGAGAGGUUAGCGCAAGCGAAGCUUUGAACUUAAGCCCCAGUAAACGGCGGCCGUAACUAUAACGGUCCUAAGGUAGCGAAAUUCCUUGUCGGGUAAGUUCCGACCCGCACGAAAGGCGUAAUGAUUUGAGCACUGUCUCGACAAUGCAUCCGGUGAAAUUG